Molecule: non-coding RNA, 321 nt
Organism: Pelobates cultripes (western spadefoot toad)
Lineage: Eukaryota; Metazoa; Chordata; Amphibia; Anura; Pelobatidae
Source: the annotation of a GenBank genome assembly
CACUGCAGCUGUAGGUAUGGGGGAAAAAAAUAGCUUCAAGGACAUUAGGAGUUGGUUGUACAUUUUUUCAGAUCAUUGAAAUGGCAAAAGGGAACACUUGGCCUGAAGAGCCUGUCCUGUAUAGCACUGAAAGCUGUGGAACAAGGUAAGUCCCCCGUGUACUGUUGACUGAGAUCUAAAUGUUUGGUGGAAUAGGCAAGGAAUGGGAAGAAGCAAAAUAAGUCAAAGCUGCCAGCUAUGUUAAGUAAAAAGGAAGCAUGUUUUCUUUGAACACUUGCAUAUUUAAAUCUGUAUAAUACAGAACCUGUACUCAUGUUUACC